This 494-nucleotide ribosomal RNA is filed under the name uncultured bacterium. Its description in RNAcentral is "partial 16S ribosomal RNA". It matches the Rfam family "Bacterial small subunit ribosomal RNA", at positions 28 to 507 of the family's 1533-position model. The record is from RNAcentral.
GACGAACGCUGGCGGCGUGCUUAACACAUGCAAGUCGAACGGUGAAGCGCCUUCCUUUUUGGUGGGUGUGGAUGAGUGGCGAACGGGUGAGUAACACGUGAGUAACCUGCCCCCUUCUUCUGGAUAACCGCAUGAAAGUGUGGCUAAUACGGGAUAUUCUGGGUCUGUCGCAUGAUGGGUCUGGGAAAGAUAUUGUUUCGGUGGGGGAUGGGCUCGCGGCCUAUCAGCUUGUUGGUGGGGUGAUGGCCUACCAAGGCGGAGACGGGUAGCCGGCCUGAGAGGGUGGACGGUCACACUGGGACUGAGACACGGCCCAGACUCCUACGGGAGGCAGCAGUGGGGAAUAUUGCACAAUGGGCGCAAGCCUGAUGCAGCGACGCCGCGUGAGGGAUGGAGGCCUUCGGGUUGUGAACCUCUUUCGCCAGUGAAGCAGGCCUGCCUCGUUUGUGGGUGGGUUGACGGUAGCUGGAGAAGAAGCGCCGGCUAACUACGUG